UACGAAGGGUGCUAGCGUUUCUCGGAAUUACUGGGCUUAAAGCGUGCGCAGGUGGUCUAUUAAGUUGGGGGUGAAAGCCCAGUGCUCAACUCUGGAAUUGCCUUUAAAACUGGCUAGCUAGAGGUCGGAAGAGGAGAGUGGAAUUUCCUGUGUAGAGGUGAAAUUCGUAGAUAUUGGAAAGAACACCAAUGGCGAAGGCGGCUCUCUGGUCCGACACUGACGCUGAGGCGCGAAAGCGUGGGGAGCAAACAGG
This 253-nucleotide ribosomal RNA is filed under the name uncultured bacterium. RNAcentral describes it as "partial 16S ribosomal RNA". It matches the Rfam family "Bacterial small subunit ribosomal RNA", at positions 524 to 776 of the family's 1533-position model. The record is from RNAcentral.